GACGAACGCUGGCGGCGUGCUUAACACAUGCAAGUCGAACGGUGAACCUCUUCGGAGGGGAUCAGUGGCGAACGGGUGGGUAACACGUGGGCAACCUGCUCCCGGCUCUGGGAUAACUCCAAGAAAUUGGGGCUAAUACCGGAUGUUCACCGCUUCCCGCAUGGGUGGUGGUGCAAAGGGUUUCCGGCUGGGGCUGGGCCCGCGGCCGAACAGCUUGUUGGUGGGGUAGUGGCCUACCAAGGCGACGACGGGUAGCCGGCCUGGGAGGGUGGACGGCCACACUGGGACUGAGACACGGACCAGAGUCCUACGGUAGGCAGCAGUCGGGAGUAUUGCGCAAUGGGCGGAAGCCUGACGCAGCGAUGCCGCGUGGGGGAUGACGGCCUUCGGGGUGUAAACGUCUGUCAGCAGGGACGAAGCGGAAGUGACGGUACCUGCAGAAGAAGCACCGGCCAACUACGUG
This 463-nucleotide ribosomal RNA is filed under the name uncultured bacterium. RNAcentral's name for it is "partial 16S ribosomal RNA". It matches the Rfam family "Bacterial small subunit ribosomal RNA", at positions 28 to 507 of the family's 1533-position model. The record is from RNAcentral.